Molecule: ribosomal RNA, 440 nt
Filed under: uncultured bacterium
Lineage: Bacteria
Description: partial 16S ribosomal RNA
Rfam family: Bacterial small subunit ribosomal RNA
Source: RNAcentral
CCUACGGGUGGCUGCAGUGGGGAAUAUUGCACAAUGGGGGGAACCCUGAUGCAGCGACGCCGCGUGAGUGAAGAAGUAUUUCGGUAUGUAAAGCUCUGUCAGCAGGGAAGAAGAAAGACGGUACCUGACCAAGAAGCCCCGGCUAACUACGUGCAAGCAGCCGCGGCAAUACGUAGGGGGCAAGCGUUAUCCGGAUUUACUGGGUGUAAAGGGAGCGUAGGCGGAAUGCCAAGUCAGCGGUAAAAUCGCGGGGCUAAACCUCGCUCCGCCGUGGAAACUGGCGUUCUUGAGUGGGCGAGAGGUAUGCGGAAUGCGUGGUGUAGCGGUGAAAUGCAUAGAUAUCACGCAGAACUCCGAUUGCGAAGGCAGCAUACCGGCGCCCAACUGACGCUGAAGCACGAAAGCGUGGGUAUCGAACAGGAUUAGAUACCCCAGUAGUC